RNAcentral lists this non-coding RNA (25 nucleotides) under Mus musculus (house mouse). The record is from RNAcentral. Lineage: Eukaryota; Metazoa; Chordata; Mammalia; Rodentia; Muridae.
UGCUUAGGCUGGUCCCGUGGAAAGA